This 424-nucleotide ribosomal RNA is filed under the name uncultured bacterium. Its description in RNAcentral is "bacterial SSU rRNA". It matches the Rfam family "Bacterial small subunit ribosomal RNA", at positions 356 to 773 of the family's 1533-position model. The record is from RNAcentral.
GGGGAAUCUUGCGCAAUGGACGAAAGUCUGACGCAGCGACGCCGCGUGGGUGAUGAAGGCCUUCGGGUCGUAAAGCCCUGUGGGGAGAGAAGAAUAAGCAAGGGCUAAUACUCCUUGUGAUGACGGUAUCUCCUUAGCAAGCACCGGCUAACUCUGUGCCAGCAGCCGCGGUAAGACAGAGGGUGCAAACGUUGUUCGGAAUUACUGGGCGUAAAGCGUGUGUAGGCGGUUCUGUAAGUCAGGUGUGAAAGCCCGGGGCUCAACCCCGGAAGUGCACUUGAUACUGCAGGGCUAGAGUACCGGAGAGGUUGGUGGAAUUCUCGGUGUAGAGGUGAAAUUCGUAGAUAGCGAGAGGAACACCGGUGGCGAAGGCGGCCAACUGGACGGAUACUGACGCUGAGACACGAAAGCGUGGGGAGCAAAC